Molecule: long non-coding RNA, 4723 nt
Filed under: Gossypium barbadense (sea-island cotton)
Lineage: Eukaryota; Viridiplantae; Streptophyta; Magnoliopsida; Malvales; Malvaceae
Description: long non-coding RNA (GBAR_LNC004037)
Source: RNAcentral
GAGCUUUUUAAACCUAAUAAAUUUACUACAGAAAUUCAACCAAAAUUAUUACAUUUAAGGGAUCUAUUGAUACCAAGAAACUGGAUGAUAGUUAGAAUAAGUGGUGCUAGUACUUCAAAACCUGUAAGUACUAUAGAAUAUAUGUCGUCAGGAGAUAGAUUAUUUUUUAAAAAUAAUGCUAUAACAAAUACAUAAACAUUAUUGAGCUUUUUAAACCUAAUAAAUUUACUACAGAAAUUCAACCAAAAUUAUUACAUUUAAGGGAUCUAUUAAUACCAAGAAACUGGAUGAUAGUUAGAAUAAGUGGUGCUAGUACUUCAAAACCUGUAAGUACUAUAGAAUAUAUGUCGUCAGGAGAUAGAUUAUUUUUAAAAAAUAAUGUUAUAACAAAUACAAAUGAUAAUUUAGUUUUACCUUCAAAUACUCAAACAGAGAAAGACGAGGAUAAUAUAAGUACAAGUUCAACACCAAUAGGAAUGAAAACAGUUAAAAUACCUAUUUUUCCAACUGAACCUAGUAGAAAUUCUAGAAACACUAGAAUGGAAGAAAUUUAAACAUCAACAAUUAUUCAAUAGAUGAAAAUUGGAAAUAGUGAUGUUAUUACAUUUUCAAAUUUUUAACGAAGAAAAUAUUAUAUAUAUAUUGAAAUUACAUUCCAAUUUAGAGAAUAUAAAACAUAUUCUUUACAUGCUUUAUUAGACACUGGAGCUACCACCAGUAGUUGUAAAAAAAAUACCAUUCCUGUAGAAAAAUGGGAACCAAUGAAAAAUCCAAUUAGAGCCAUAGGAAUAGAUGGUAAUGAAACCAUAAUAGGAUUUAAGGCUAGAAAAAUACCAAUCUACGUAAAUACCAUUCCUAAAAUAUUAUGUUUUCCUGAAAUGCGUGGAGAUAUAUUAUUUUUUUAAAAUAAUGUUAUAACAAAUACAAAUGAUAAUUUAGUUUUACCUUCAAAUACUCAAACAGAGAAAGACGAGGAUAAUAAGUACAAGUUCAACACCAAUAGGAAUGAAAACAGUUAAAAUACCUAUUUUUCCAACUGAACCUAGUAGAAAUUCUAGAAACACUAGAAUGGAAGAAAUUUAAACAUCAACAAUUAUUCAAUAGAUGAAAAUUGGAAAUAGUGAUGUUAUUACAUUUUCAAAUUUUUAACGAAGAAAAUAUUAUAUAUAUAUUGAAAUUACAUUCCAAUUUAGAGAAUAUAAAACAUAUUCUUUACAUGCUUUAUUAGACACUGGAGCUACCACCAGUAGUUGUAAAAAAAAUACCAUUCCUGUAGAAAAAUGGGAACCAAUGAAAAAUCCAAUUAGAGCCAUAGGAAUAGAUGGUAAUGAAACCAUAAUAGGAUUUAAGGCUAGAAAAAUACCAAUCUACGUAAAUACCAUUCCUAAAAUAUUAUGUUUUCCUGAAAUGCGUGGAGAUAUAUUAUUAGGAAAUAAUUUUAUAUAUCAACAUUUACCAUUUUCUAUAGAUAAAAAUUUAAUAAUAUUGUUUGCAGAAAAGAUUUUUGUAGAAAUACCUUUAGUAGAAAAUUAUAAAUUUGUGUGUGAUAAAAAUUUUACACCCCCAAGAAAAGAACAGAUUAAACAACUAGAAACAGAUCAUUGGUUGUUUAAAAUUCUAGAAGAUAAUUUUAGUGAAGAACCAUUAAAUUAUGGCAGAAUAGUCCUAGAUAUUGUGAAAUAAAAUUGGAAAAUCCCAAUAAAAUCAUUAGAGUAAACCUAUAAUCUAUACUAAACAAGAUAUAAAUGAAUUUGAUAUACAAAUCAAAGAAUUAUUAGAAAAAUGAUUAAUAAAAAAAAACUAAUAGUCCACAUUCUAGUCCUGCUUUUAUGGUAAGAAACUAUGCUGAAAUAAAAAGAGGAAAAGCUAGAAUGGUAAUUAAUUAUAAAAGAUUAAAUCAAAAUAUUAUUUUUGACGGAUAUUUUAUUCCAAGAAAUGAUGUUUUAAUUAAUCAAGCUAAAUAAGCAAAAUAUUUUAAUCCACAAUUUGUUGUUUUUAAUCAUAUCCUAAACAAUGGACCAUAUUCAAAUAUUUUUCUAUAAUAACAACUAAUUUGUAUUUUUAUACGAUGCAUAGGCCGGUUGUAUAUAUAUAAUAUUUUAAAAAAUUAAAAGGUCAUAAACUUUUGUGAUGCAAGGAAUUUAAAUUUCAAUGAGACACCAAAUUUGUCAAAAGCGUAUCCAAAAAAAUUAUUUUUUUUUAUUUUUUAUUAUUAAUGUUAUGAGAUUUAAAAACAUGUUAAAUUAUGUAUACUUCUUUGAGAAAAAAAAAUAAUUGAGUUUGAUGUACUUUUAUAUAUAUAUAUUAUGCAUAUAUGAUGUACUUAUAUUAACUUUUUAAUUGUUGUUCAUAUUUGGUAAAGGAUUAUUUGUAGAAACAUUCGUGGUAUAAACUAUUCAUUAAUUAAUUAAGCAUAAGAAUAAUUUUCAAAAAUAUAUUAUAAUCAUUUUCAUAUUUUAAUUGAAAAUAUUUAAUAUAGAAAACCAUAUAUGCAUAUGCAUUAUCGUAAAGUACUAUACGAUUAAAUUUUUUUUAUAUUAGUUGUGCUAUUUAUAAUAAUUGUAUCUAUAUUUAAGUUUAUUAUAUCUAAGUAAUUAGCUUAACAUUAUUAAUAAUUUAUAAUUAUUUCAUUAGAAUAGCUAAAUUAAAUAUACAUUAAAAAGAUAUGUGUUUAAGGAAUUAAAAUAUAGUGAGCGUAAAAAUAAAAGUUAUCAAAAAAUAUGGAAAACAGAGAGACUUCUGGUGCCGGAAAAGCCAUGCAGAGGAGUUGAUCCCGAAGAAAGUUCACUUUAGACAGGAAGACGGAGAUUCUAACAACGAUAUGAUGAUCGAUCUGACCUCGGAGCAGCCCGUUUCGUGGAAAGAUAAACUUAUCGGUCAAUCAUCAAAGAAUGAGAGUACUGGUUCGGAAGGAAGAGAGGAUUUUGUUAUUAUGGAUGGCGACAUUCAAAAAUCUUUUGUGAAUGGAAUGCCUUCUAUAACUUUCUCGGACAGGGUUCAUCAAUUUUUAAUACAAGGUAUGGAGAAUACCGUGAUUUUAAAAUUGCUUGGUUGUAACAUAGGUUUUUCAGUUUUGCAGAAUAAAUUAUACAAUCUGUGGAGACCUUCAGUAACCCUACAUAUGAUGGAUAUUGAGAAUGAAUAUUUUCUGGUUAAAUUUCAAAAUAAGUUGGACUAUGAAAUGGCUCUUUCUGAAGGCCCUUGGAUUAUCUUUGGACAAUACUUGACGGUUCAGCCUUGGACGGUAUCUUUUGAUCCCUCUCAGGCAUACCCAAGCAUUGUGAAGGCGUGGAUCAGGUUUCCUGGUUUACCGGGGUACUUAUACAACCAUAAAAUUAUUUUUGAGAUAGGAGGGAUGGUUGGAAAAGUGGUUAAGCUCGACAUGAACAUUGACAGUAGAGCUAGAGGGCGUUUUGCUAGAAUGGCGGUUUAUGUUGACUUGGAUAAGCCUUUGGUUUCCCAAAUCUUGAUUAAUGGACGAAAACAGAACGUGUAUAUGUCUCUCUAUCCACAAUCUAUUUUAGCUGUGGAAGAUAUGGUCACGUGGAAAACUCUUGUAUGUUCAGGAAUUCAGGUGUCACCGGAGAAAAGAGUCUUACUGCACAUGAAGAGUCGUCGGGGAUUCGGGAAAUGAUUAGAGAUAGCUCGGGGAAGAAGGACAAAAAUUACAGGCCAUGGAUGAUCGUUGAAAGGAAAUCAAUGCGGAAUUUUAGAGAGAAUGUGCAGGCUCCGGUAGCAAAUCAAGGGACUGAACAAGAAGGCCCACGAUUUAGACUCCUUAAUAAUAGGGAUUAUCAUAAAAAUGGUAAUGAAGGUGUUCUGUCACGUAAUAAAGGGAAAGAAAUAUUUAAUGGAAAAUAUACCAGGAAAGAGGUUGGCUCUCUUCAAAAAGAAAGUCUUGAUUUAAGCAAGAAUAAUAAUAAUAACGGUCAGGAUAAAGAGGUAGGCCGUUUCAAUAAUAUAGGCUCGAAUAUUAAUGGGGAAAAUGGGCCAAUAUCUGGGUCUAGCUUGAAUAAAAAACAGACUAAAGAAAACUUACCGGAUUCUAAGAAGCAGACCAGCUAUUUGGGCCUUGGAGACAGCUCAAAUGCUCAAGCCCGAGAUACCUUGGACCUACCUGGAUCUGUCACUGUGGCCCAACAGAAAGCUGUGGUUGCUGGCUGCAGUAGCAGCUCUAUGGCGGUGGUAGACGAGCGAUUGCCUUCUACUGGUGAGAUGGAUCUUCUCCUUGAAUUCAAUUCUGGUUCGGCUCAAGGGUAUCCGGUUCUGGAAGGGUGUAUCAGAAAGGAAGAGAGACUGGCAGUGGGAAACCUUGAUCCUGGAAGACAUACGGCUGUGGUUUUCCACGAUAACUUGAACCCUAACAAGACUAACUCUCUUCCAAACAGCAGUAAAGGGCUAAUCCUGGUGAGUAACUCCAGCCUAGGGAAGGGAUUCGGUACUAGAGGGAAAGGUAUUUCUAAGAAACGAAACAAAGUUGCCCAUGGGAGCAAUACCCGUUUCAAAUUCGCUGGCUCACAACGGGUCCCUUUGAAGUAGUCGAUAGAGCAGAUUGCUGAAAGCCUUUCGGCCUUAUCCAAAUCCAAUCUUGAAUUGGUGGAAGCCAAUGUGCACGGACAAAUUGUAGGGAGUUAUAUCCCUGGACAGUAAGCUUUAAGGAUUUAUUUUGGUUUUUAUUGUUUUCUAAUUUUCUUUUGUUUUUAAUUGUUUUUUGGAUUUCUGG